This 1606-nucleotide long non-coding RNA is filed under the name Mus musculus (house mouse). Its description in RNAcentral is "long non-coding RNA chr2:76562465-76564071". The record is from RNAcentral. Lineage: Eukaryota; Metazoa; Chordata; Mammalia; Rodentia; Muridae.
UGGAGGUGAAUUUUAAGGGUGGCCCCUAACAUUUCCACUCCACACUCCAGCCGCUGGUAUCAGAAGGUUUCUGAGCCAGGCUUCCUCCCUGCUUCUAGGAAGCCUCGAGGGUCUAUCCUGAGCAGAGGAGCAAGGCUCACACUCAGCACUGAAGAGUCACAGCUCUGAGUGUGAGGAGCGCUGGCAAGAAGAUGGUUACCACUUAAAGUGCUUUCUAUCCAAAUGCCGUCCGGUGUCAAUGAAUGAAAACUGAGUGAGUCCCCCCAGGCUGAAGAAAUAGUCAGUGAGAUGAAUACAUCCUGAUUUAUAUUCUCUAUUUUCCAAAUUUCUCGAUUAAAAUGACCCAUCCAACACACUUCUUCUCAGGAAAAAAAAGAUAACUAUUUAAUUCGCUCGAAUGUGUACAAAAAUAGUUUUCAUCUUCCCAGGAAACUGUCUGGUUGCAAUUAGCUUGGAAUAUUGUGAGUUUGUUCCCCAUGGGUCAUAUCCAGAGCCACUUUUAGGAGUCAGUUUAAAACUCAAUUAUGUUCAAAUUAUAAAUUUGUAAAUUGUGUGUUUCUUCUUAGCAUAUGAUUUGAGCAUUUAGUAGAGAUGCUUUUAUUGUGCACAAAUACGGGGCCUUCUUGGACUCCAUGGGCUCUUACAUCGGGCCCCUCUAUGGCACCUCCCUAGGCUAACAUAAGCAGCUCAGAAGAAAAACCCAUGCUGGCUGAAUUCUUGAGGACUUUUGAGUGACAUGAAACUUUCCCAUGAUCCUCAGUAUACUAUGUCUCCCAACACCAAACACCCGAGUUUGCUUUUCUUUAAUGUCCCUUGAUCUACCUUUAAUCACUUUCUACACAGGUCCCAUUUUUCUCUUCGUGCCCCCAAAGCUUCUCUGUCAUUGCUCUAAAGAUAAAGUCCCCAACAUAAGGGAGCCCCAGCACUCCAUUCUCUCAAAGGACUCAUUCGCUACUUCUCUGCCUCAGAUCUGGGACAGGAGGAAGGUUUGAGACUAAUAAGGUAGACAGACAUUGACACCUCCCAGCAUGGAGUCACUGCAGCUCCUACUGAGGGUCAAGGAUGAUGACCCUGACAUCUCUGAAGGCCUCAGAGAAUGUGUGGUAGCAUGCUCAGUGGAGGCGCUGUCAGUGCGGGAAGUUGCCCAUUCUCUUCCUUCCUCAGCAAUAGCUUCUUUCCCAGAUAAAGUACUCACUGUCAGAGCUGAACUGCAUCAGUGGGGCCAUCAGUCAAGUCAUUGCCCAUGGGCCAACAGACAGACAGACAGACAGACAGACAGAGAACCCUUUUAUCCUAUCCUUUCUCAUUUAUUGAAUUCAUAAAAUUUAAAAUAAAAGCCUAUUAAGGAAAUUAAGUGUUUUACACACACACACCUCUCCCACACACCAAAGUAUUGCAAGUUAGUCAGGGAGAACGAGUUAGCACUUCAACUGCAGAAAGUUCAGUUUUUGUGGAGUCUGUGUUAUAGCUCCUCAGGGCAGCUGAGAGAAGAUCUAUGUAGUAAGAUUAGGAAAGCUAGCUGGUGGACUAGCUAGAAGAAUAGCAUUUCCAUUUCCCAACAAUGAUUAACCAGUAGCUCUUGUCACCCUCAGGUUGACCCCCCCCU